UUCUUAUUAAGAGGAGCAGAGGGACUGGCCCAAUGAUGCUUCAGCAACCCCGCCAUGAGCGGAAGGUGCUAAUUCCAGCAGGACUACGUCCUGGGAGAUAAGAG
This 104-nucleotide non-coding RNA is filed under the name Shouchella clausii KSM-K16. RNAcentral describes it as "Bacillus clausii KSM-K16 SAM riboswitch aptamer (S box leader)". It matches the Rfam family "SAM riboswitch aptamer (S box leader)". Rfam says of the family: The SAM riboswitch is found upstream of a number of genes which code for proteins involved in methionine or cysteine biosynthesis in Gram-positive bacteria. Lineage: Bacteria; Bacillati; Bacillota; Bacilli; Caryophanales; Bacillaceae. RNAcentral also lists the same sequence under 1 other name. The record is from Rfam by way of RNAcentral.